UGGCUCAGGAUGAACGCUGGCGGCGUGCCUAAUACAUGCAAGUCGAGCGAACGGACGAGAAGCUUGCUUCUCUGAUGUUAGCGGCGGACGGGUGAGUAACACGUGGAUAACCUACCUAUAAGACUGGGAUAACUUCGGGAAACCGGAGCUAAUACCGGAUAAUAUUUUGAACCGCAUGGUUCAAAAGUGAAAGACGGUCUUGCUGUCACUUAUAGAUGGAUCCGCGCUGCAUUAGCUAGUUGGUAAGGUAACGGCUUACCAAGGCAACGAUGCAUAGCCGACCUGAGAGGGUGAUCGGCCACACUGGAACUGAGACACGGUCCAGACUCCUACGGGAGGCAGCAGUAGGGAAUCUUCCGCAAUGGGCGAAAGCCUGACGGAGCAACGCCGCGUGAGUGAUGAAGGUCUUCGGAUCGUAAAACUCUGUUAUUAGGGAAGAACAUAUGUGUAAGUAACUGUGCACAUCUUGACGGUACCUAAUCAGAAAGCCACGGCUAACUACGUGCCAGCAGCCGCGGUAAUACGUAGGUGGCAAGCGUUAUCCGGAAUUAUUGGGCGUAAAGCGCGCGUAGGCGGUUUUUUAAGUCUGAUGUGAAAGCCCACGGCUCAACCGUGGAGGGUCAUUGGAAACUGGAAAACUUGAGUGCAGAAGAGGAAAGUGGAAUUCCAUGUGUAGCGGUGAAAUGCGCAGAGAUAUGGAGGAACACCAGUGGCGAAGGCGACUUUCUGGUCUGUAACUGACGCUGAUGUGCGAAAGCGUGGGGAUCAAACAGGAUUAGAUACCCUGGUAGUCCACGCCGUAAACGAUGAGUGCUAAGUGUUAGGGGGUUUCCGCCCCUUAGUGCUGCAGCUAACGCAUUAAGCACUCCGCCUGGGGAGUACGACCGCAAGGUUGAAACUCAAAGGAAUUGACGGGGACCCGCACAAGCGGUGGAGCAUGUGGUUUAAUUCGAAGCAACGCGAAGAACCUUACCAAAUCUUGACAUCCUUUGACAACUCUAGAGAUAGAGCCUUCCCCUUCGGGGGACAAAGUGACAGGUGGUGCAUGGUUGUCGUCAGCUCGUGUCGUGAGAUGUUGGGUUAAGUCCCGCAACGAGCGCAACCCUUAAGCUUAGUUGCCAUCAUUAAGUUGGGCACUCUAAGUUGACUGCCGGUGACAAACCGGAGGAAGGUGGGGAUGACGUCAAAUCAUCAUGCCCCUUAUGAUUUGGGCUACACACGUGCUACAAUGGACAAUACAAAGGGCAGCGAAACCGCGAGGUCAAGCAAAUCCCAUAAAGUUGUUCUCAGUUCGGAUUGUAGUCUGCAACUCGACUACAUGAAGCUGGAAUCGCUAGUAAUCGUAGAUCAGCAUGCUACGGUGAAUACGUUCCCGGGUCUUGUACACACCGCCCGUCACACCACGAGAGUUUGUAACACCCGAAGCCGGUGGAGUAACCUUUUAGGAGCUAGCCGUCGAAGGUGGGACAAAUGAUUGGGGUGAAGUCGUAACAAGGUAGCCGUAUCGGAAGGUGCGGCUGGAUCACCUCCUUUCUAAGGAUAUAUUCGGAACAUCUUCUUMAGAAGAUGCGGAAUAACGUGACAUAUUGUAUUCAGUUUUGAAUGUUUAUUUAACAUUCAAAUAUUUUUUGGUUAAAGYGAUAUUGCUUUUGAAAAUAAAGCAGUAUGCGAGCGCUUGACUAAAAAGAAAUUGUACAUUGAAAACUAGAUAAGUAAGUAAAAUAUAGAUUUUACCAAGCAAAACCGAGUGAAUAAAGAGUUUUAAAUAAGCUUGAAUUCAUAAGAAAUAAUCGCUAGUGUUCGAAAGAACACUACGACUCUGGUGUACCAG
Molecule: ribosomal RNA, 1831 nt
Filed under: Staphylococcus aureus subsp. aureus CN1
Lineage: Bacteria; Bacillati; Bacillota; Bacilli; Caryophanales; Staphylococcaceae
Description: 16S ribosomal RNA
Rfam family: Bacterial small subunit ribosomal RNA (bases 1-1533)
Source: RNAcentral